UUGCAGUUAAAAAGCUCGUAGUUGGAUUUCUGUUAAUAAUUUAUAUAAAAUAUUUUGAUGAAUAUUUAUAUAAUAUUAACAUAAUUCAUAUUACUAUUUUUUUUUUUAGUAUAUGAAAUUUUACUUUGAGAAAAUUAGAGUGCUUAAAGCAGGCAUAUGCCUUGAAUACUCCAGCAUGGAAUAAUAUUAAAGAUUUUUAUCUUUYUUAUUGGUUCUAAGAUAAGAAUAAUGAUUAAUAGGGACAGUUGGGGGCAUUUGUAUUUAACAGUCAGAGGUGAAAUUCUUAGAUUUGUUAAAGACARACUAAUGCGAAAGCAUUUGCCAAGGAUGUUUUCAUUAAUCAAGAACGAAAGUUAGGGGAUCGAAGACGAUCAGAUAC
Molecule: ribosomal RNA, 379 nt
Filed under: Cryptosporidium hominis
Lineage: Eukaryota; Apicomplexa; Conoidasida; Eucoccidiorida; Cryptosporidiidae
Description: partial small subunit ribosomal RNA
Source: RNAcentral